RNAcentral lists this ribosomal RNA (1723 nucleotides) under Arthropoma cecilii. Its description in RNAcentral is "partial large subunit ribosomal RNA". It matches the Rfam family "Eukaryotic large subunit ribosomal RNA", at positions 23 to 1577 of the family's 3401-position model. The record is from RNAcentral. Lineage: Eukaryota; Metazoa; Bryozoa; Gymnolaemata; Cheilostomatida; Lacernidae.
ACCCGCCGAACUUAAGCAUAUCAGUAAGCGGAGGAAAAGAAACUAACUAGGAUUCCCCGAGUAACGGCGAGCGAAAGGGGAGAAGCCCAGCGCCGAAGCCCGCGGCCUCCGGUCGCAGUGCAAUGUGGCGUUUCGGCGGCGUCUCGCCCCGGCCGCUCUGGCACGAGUAUCUCUGAACGGGUCUGCCCGCAGCGGGUGUCAGGCCUCUACUUGCCGAGCGAGUGGCCGGCGGCACGGCGCCGUCGCGGAGUCGGGUUGCUUGAGAGUGCAGCCCAAAGUGGGUGGUAAGCUCCAUCUAAGGCUAAAUACCUAGUGCAAGACCGAUAGCAAACAAGUACCGUGAGGGAAAGUUGCAAAGAACUUUGAAAAGAGAGUUCAAGAGUACGUGAAACCGUUCAGAGGCAAACGGACGGAACUGGGCGAGUUCGCCGCCGCCACUCAGCCGGAGUGGGCCCGCUCGUACGCGGGCUCGCCGGUGCACUUGGCGGCGGCGGAGCGCGACGACCGCCUGUCGGGUCGUCGGAAGCCCGGCGGCAAGGUGGCGACGCGCCUGGCGCGUCGUGUUAGAGGCCGCCGCGGCGUUGGCAGACUCGACGGGCGAGGAGCGCCUGCGGUGCACUCCCCGCGCGGGAGCGGCGCGUGCGGUGGGCUCGCGGACGCCGGCGGCGAACUGCUCGCAGUUUGUCUGUCGCGCGCGCCGCUUGUCGCGCCGCGCGCCGCCACGGGGCACCGAGGGUCCGGGUCGCGUGGUUCCUGGCACUCCGUCCGACCCGUCUUGAAACACGGACCAAGGAGUUGAGCACGCGCGCGAGUCGAUGGGCUCCUGAGAACCCCAGUGGCGCAGCUAAGGCAAAACGGGCGUGAUCCGGCACUGGCGUGUCGGCGCAACGCCGGCCCGCAGCCGACUCGGCGCGAGUGGCUGCGGCGCGAGAGCGUGCGUGCUCAGACCCGAAAGGUGGUGAACUAUGCUUGAGCAGGGCGAAGCCAGAGGAAACUCUGGUGGAGGCUCGCAGCGAUCCUGACGUGCAAAUCGGUCGUCAAACUUGAGCAUAGGGGCGAAAGACUAAUCGAACCGCCUAGUAGCUGGUUCCCUCCGAAGUUUCCCUCAGGAUAGCUAGCACUUGGGAGAUACGGUUUUAUCCGGUAAAGCGAAUGAUUAGAGGCAUUGGGGACGAAACGUCCUCAACCUAUUCUCAAACUUUAAAUGGGUAAGAGGCGCGACCCGUCCUGACCGGGGCCGCGUGCUCGAACGGCGAGUGCUCAGUGGGCCGUUUUUGGUAAGCAGAACUGGCGCUGUGGGAUGAACCAAACGUGCGGUUAGGGUGCCUAACGCACGCUCAUGAGAGACCACAAAAGGUGUUGGUUGAUAUAGACAGCAGGACGGUGGCCAUGGAAGUCGGAAUCCGCUAAGGAGUGUGUAACAACUCACCUGCCGAAUCAACUAGCCCUGAAAAUGGAUGGCGCUGGAGCGUGCGACCCAUACCGCACCGUCGGGGCAACGCGUGCGAAAUGCCAGGCCCCGACGAGUAGGAGGGCGUGUCGGUGGCGCUGAAGCGUAGUGCGCGAGCACGCGUGGAGCCGCCUUCAGUGCAGAUCUUGGUGGUAGUAGCAAGUAUACAAAUGAGAACUUUGUAGACCGAAGUGGAGAAGGGUUCCAUGUGAACAGCAGUUGGACAUGGGUCAGUCGGCCCUAAGAGAUCGGAGAACUCCGUUCUGAACGGGG